Molecule: unclassified non-coding RNA, 239 nt
Filed under: Pyrenopeziza sp.
Lineage: Eukaryota; Fungi; Ascomycota; Leotiomycetes; Helotiales; Ploettnerulaceae
Also listed under: 3 other names
Description: partial contains 5.8S ribosomal RNA, internal transcribed spacer 2, and large subunit ribosomal RNA
Source: RNAcentral
AACGCACAUUGCGCCCCUUGGUAUUCCGGGGGGCAUGCCUGUUCGAGCGUCAUUAUAACCAAUCCAGCUUGCUGGGUCUUGGGCUGCGCCUCCCUGGCGGGCCUUAAAAACAGUGGCGGUGCUCUUCAGCUCUACGCGUAGUAAUUUCUCUCGCGAUUGGGCCUGGAGGGAUGCUUGCCAACAACCCCCAAUUUUUUUAGGUUGACCUCGGAUCAGGUAGGGAUACCCGCUGAACUUAA